This 649-nucleotide ribosomal RNA is filed under the name Serratia sp. (in: enterobacteria). RNAcentral's name for it is "bacterial SSU rRNA". It matches the Rfam family "Bacterial small subunit ribosomal RNA", at positions 812 to 1461 of the family's 1533-position model. The record is from RNAcentral. Lineage: Bacteria; Pseudomonadati; Pseudomonadota; Gammaproteobacteria; Enterobacterales; Yersiniaceae.
UCGAUUUGGAGGUUGUGCCCUUGAGGCGUGGCUUCCGGAGCUAACGCGUUAAAUCGACCGCCUGGGGAGUACGGCCGCAAGGUUAAAACUCAAAUGAAUUGACGGGGGCCCGCACAAGCGGUGGAGCAUGUGGUUUAAUUCGAUGCAACGCGAAGAACCUUACCUACUCUUGACAUCCAGAGAACUUUCCAGAGAUGGAUUGGUGCCUUCGGGAACUCUGAGACAGGUGCUGCAUGGCUGUCGUCAGCUCGUGUUGUGAAAUGUUGGGUUAAGUCCCGCAACGAGCGCAACCCUUAUCCUUUGUUGCCAGCGGUUCGGCCGGGAACUCAAAGGAGACUGCCAGUGAUAAACUGGAGGAAGGUGGGGAUGACGUCAAGUCAUCAUGGCCCUUACGAGUAGGGCUACACACGUGCUACAAUGGCAUAUACAAAGAGAAGCGACCUCGCGAGAGCAAGCGGACCUCAUAAAGUAUGUCGUAGUCCGGAUUGGAGUCUGCAACUCGACUCCAUGAAGUCGGAAUCGCUAGUAAUCGUAGAUCAGAAUGCUACGGUGAAUACGUUCCCGGGCCUUGUACACACCGCCCGUCACACCAUGGGAGUGGGUUGCAAAAGAAGUAGGUAGCUUAACCUUCGGGAGGGCGCUUACCACU